AAAGAUUAAGCCAUGUAUGUCUAAGUAUAAGCACUUCACACAGUGAAACUGCGAAUGGCUCAUUAAAUCAGUUAUCGUUUAUUUGAUAGUACCUUACUACAUGGAUACCUGUGGUAAUUCUAGAGCUAAUACAUGCUAAAAACCCCGACUUCAGGAAGGGGUGUAUUUAUUAGAUAAAAAACCAACGCCCUUCGGGGCUCCUUGGUGAAUCAUAAUAACUUAACGAAUCGCAUGGCCUUGCGCCGGCGAUGGUUCAUUCAAAUUUCUGCCCUAUCAACUUUCGAUGGUAGGAUAGUGGCCUACCAUGGUGGCAACGGGUAACGGGGAAUUAGGGUUCGAUUCCGGAGAGGGAGCCUGAUAAACGGCUACCACAUCCAAGGAAGGCAGCAGGCUCGCAAAUUACCCAAUCCCGAUACGGGGAGGUUGUGACAAUAAAUACUGAUACGGGGUUCUUUUGGUUCUCGUAAUUGUAAUGAGAACAAUUUUAAUCCCUUAACGAGGAACAAUUGGAGGGCAAGUCUGGUGCCAGUAGUCGCGGUAAUUCCUGCUCCUAUUGCUUAUAUUAAAGUUGUUUCAGUUAAAAAAUCUCGUAGUUGAACCUUGGGUCUGGCUGGCCUGUCCUCCUCACCUCUAGUACUGGUCCGGCUGGACCUUUCCUUCUGGGGAACCCUCAUGGCCUUCACUGGCUGUGGGGGGAAACCAGGACUUUUACUGUGAAAAAAUUAGAGUGUUCAAAGCAGGCCUUUGCUCGAAUACAUUAGCAUGGAAUAAUAGAAUAGGACGUGCGGUUCUAUUUUGUUGGUUUCUAGGACCGCCGUAAUGAUUAAUAGGGAUAGUCGGGGGCGUCAGUAUUCAGCUGUCAGAGGUGAAAUUCUUGGAUUUGCUGAAGACUAACUACUGCGAAAGCAUUCGCCAAGGAUGUUUUCAUUAAUCAGGGAACGAAAGUUAGGGGAUCGAAGACGAUCAGAUACCGUCGUAGUCUUAACCAUAAACUAUGCCGACUAGGGAUCGGACGGGCUUCUAUGAUGACCCGUUCGGCACCUUACGAGAAAUCAAAGUUUUUGGGUUCUGGGGGGAGUAUGGUCGCAAGGCUGAAACUUAAAGAAAUUGACGGAAGGGCACCACAAGGCGUGGAGCCUGCGGCUUAAUUUGACUCAACACGGGGAAACUCACCAGGUCCAGACAAAAUAAGGAUUGACAGAUUGAGAGCUCUUUCUUGAUCUUUUGGAUGGUGGUGCAUGGCCGUUCUUAGUUGGUGGAGUGAUUUGUCUGGUUAAUUCCGUUAACGAACGAGACCUUAACCUGCUAAAUAGUUAGGCCAACGUUUGUUGGUCGUCAACUUCUUAGAGGGACUAUUGACUAUUAGUCAAUGGAAGUUU
RNAcentral lists this ribosomal RNA (1379 nucleotides) under Penicillium sp. A24. RNAcentral describes it as "SSU rRNA". It matches the Rfam family "Eukaryotic small subunit ribosomal RNA", at positions 39 to 1446 of the family's 1831-position model. The record is from RNAcentral. Lineage: Eukaryota; Fungi; Ascomycota; Eurotiomycetes; Eurotiales; Aspergillaceae.